Molecule: ribosomal RNA, 482 nt
Filed under: uncultured bacterium
Lineage: Bacteria
Description: partial 16S ribosomal RNA
Rfam family: Bacterial small subunit ribosomal RNA
Source: RNAcentral
AUUGAACGCUGGCGGCAUGCCUUACACAUGCAAGUCGAACGGUAACAGGUCUUCGGAUGCUGACGAGUGGCGAACGGGUGAGUAAUACAUCGGAACGUGCCCGAUCGUGGGGGGUAACGAGGCGAAAGCUUUGCUAAUACCGCAUACGAUCUACGGAUGAAAGCGGGGGAUCUUCGGACCUCGCGCGGACGGAGCGGCCGAUGGCAGAUUAGGUAGUUGGUGGGAUAAAAGCUUACCAAGCCGACGAUCUGUAGCUGGUCUGAGAGGAUGAUCAGCCACACUGGGACUGAGACACGGCCCAGACUCCUACGGGAGGCAGCAGUGGGGAAUUUUGGACAAUGGGCGAAAGCCUGAUCCAGCCAUGCCGCGUGCAGGAUGAAGGCCUUCGGGUUGUAAACUGCUUUUGUACGGAACGAAAAGCCUCUUUCUAAUAAAGAGGGGUCAUGACGGUACCGUAAGAAUAAGCACCGGCUAACUACGUG